UACGUAGGGUGCGAGCGUUAAUCGGAAUUACUGGGCGUAAAGGGCUCGUAGGCGGCCAACUAAGUCAGACGUGAAAUCCCUCGGCUUAACCGGGGAACUGCAUCUGAUACUGGAUGGCUUGAGUUCGGGAGAGGGAUGCGGAAUUCCAGGUGUAGCGGUGAAAUGCGUAGAUAUCGGGAGGAACACCUGUGGCGAAGGCGGCCAUCUGGACAGUCACUGACACUGAGACGCGAAAGCGUGGGUAGCAAACAGG
RNAcentral lists this ribosomal RNA (253 nucleotides) under uncultured bacterium. RNAcentral's name for it is "partial 16S ribosomal RNA". It matches the Rfam family "Bacterial small subunit ribosomal RNA", at positions 524 to 776 of the family's 1533-position model. The record is from RNAcentral.